RNAcentral lists this ribosomal RNA (267 nucleotides) under Rhizophagus intraradices. The record is from RNAcentral. Lineage: Eukaryota; Fungi; Glomeromycota; Glomeromycetes; Glomerales; Glomeraceae.
CAGUCGUACCGGCGGGUAAUCAGCCUUUCGGGUAUGAUUCUGUGGAGUGUGGGGAGCUAAACACCCUCAUGCCUGCAUAUUCGUGUACUUUUGGGUGUACUUGCCUGUGCGGUUAGUUAACAUCAAUUUUGGUUAUCAUAAAAUGGUUGGAGGAAUGUAGCUUCGAUCUCGUAUUGAAGUGUUAUAGCCUUCGGCAGAUGUGAUGAUCGAGAUUGAGGUAUUGACAACGGAUACCCUUCGUGGGCUUACCUGUCUGAUCUCUGAUCG